This 849-nucleotide long non-coding RNA is filed under the name Mus musculus (house mouse). Its description in RNAcentral is "long non-coding RNA chr3:55467282-55468131". The record is from RNAcentral. Lineage: Eukaryota; Metazoa; Chordata; Mammalia; Rodentia; Muridae.
UUUUUGUUUUUGCUGUUGUUGUCGUCAUGCGGAUUUUUCUUUUUUUCCAGAUUAUCUUUUGUAAAACUAGUUUCAGCUACAUGGAAACACGAACAACUUGACAUUAUUAUUAAUUGUACAAUGUUUCCCUACAACAGCAACAGUAUACUUAUUAUUUUUUUCAAGUGUCUAAAGUUUUUGACCUAAAAAAAAAAAAAAUGGGACUCGUGCCGUUUUUUUCAAAAAAAAAUAAACUCAGUUUGAGAAUUGAAACUCUUCUAAAGAGAGCCUGUACAUUGGGCUCCCUGUGCUGGUCAUCCUGCAUCUUGUUGUUUGGGAUGUCUUCAUAUGCAAAACUCCUUUUGUGUCAAACCUAGUGUGUCUAUGAUUAUAACCCGCUGUUAAAACAUUAACAUACUAAUUCUUCUCCUCUAUUUUCAAAAGUGUAAGUCAGCUUUGCUUAAAUGUAAAACAGUUAUUUUUAAAUCUAGAUGUUAGAAAUCAAUGUGUAUGAUGUAUUGUAUUUAGACCAUACCCGUGACCGUUUCUUUUUACUAGCUCAAACACUAACAAUUUAAGACUUACAAAGCAUGGAUUUUAUAUUCUCUAGGCUUGACAUAUCUCAGUAGGGUGACAGAUUUAAAAUGUAUGGUGCCAUUUGGAGCCUUUUACUUGAGAUUUCUUUCAAAUUUCUCUUGAAAACAUUUUGAAAAUGCCUGAUUCAAGAUGGAGAGGAGUCCCCUUGUCAUAUGGUUUCAAAUGUUAUUGAUUUCUUUCUCUCAGUAGACUGUUCAACUAGCAAAUUUCCCCAUCUGGUUUAUAGUUACCUAUGCUAGCAUCUCACUUGACAAGUGAAUAAAAUAUUCCAAC